This 611-nucleotide long non-coding RNA is filed under the name Theobroma cacao (cacao). RNAcentral's name for it is "long non-coding RNA (TCAC_LNC000939)". Lineage: Eukaryota; Viridiplantae; Streptophyta; Magnoliopsida; Malvales; Malvaceae. The record is from RNAcentral.
AAACUUUCAUUUAAAAUGAAAUUAUAACUAUUUGAAUAUAAUAAAGAUAUAGAAUAAAAUAUUUAAUUUUUUCAUAAAACAAUAUUUUUAGAACACUGUGUAAAUAAUUUUUAUAGCGAAAAAGCAAAAUAAAUUCAUAUAUAUUGUAAUAUAGAUAACCAAAGUAUAAAAUUAAAUUUGCAGUGACACAUGGGCCCACGAACGACUAAAAGUGUCAAAAGAAUUGAACCUACAUAUUUUGAGGAUGUCAAUCCAAUUGUAGUCCUCGAUGAAAUGAGCUAUUUUACUGACUAUCCUAAUGCCUGAAAUGGGUGGAAAGGAGGGUGGUGAGAUUUUAUAAUCCCAGUGAGUAAACAAACAUCAUCCGAAAUAUCUAAAGUCGAGUAAAAUGAGACAAUUAAAAUAUUUCAGCUCAAUAUGUAUUUCAUAACAUAAAUAUUCAUUUCAUUUAAAUAUUCAACAUGGCUUAUGAGUAUCUUAAAAGCUUGGCUCCUGCCAAAAUCAUUCUCGGGGAUACCUUGGCCGAGGCAUCUAACCGAGUCCACCAAGGCUGUUAAAAAGUUCGUAUACACGUAAACAUAUUUUUAGUUUGAAAAACACAGCCAUUCCUU